Molecule: ribosomal RNA, 497 nt
Filed under: uncultured bacterium
Lineage: Bacteria
Description: partial 16S ribosomal RNA
Rfam family: Bacterial small subunit ribosomal RNA
Source: RNAcentral
GAUGAACGCUGGCGGCGUGCCUAAUACAUGCAAGUCGAGCGAACAGACGAGGAGCUUGCUCCUCUGACGUUAGCGGCGGACGGGUGAGUAACACGUGGAUAACCUACCUAUAAGACUGGGAUAACUUCGGGAAACCGGAGCUAAUACCGGAUAAUAUAUUGAACCGCAUGGUUCAAUAGUGAAAGACGGUUUUGCUGUCACUUAUAGAUGGAUCCGCGCCGCAUUAGCUGGUUGGUAAGGUAACGGCUUACCAAGGCAACGAGGCGUAGCCGACCUGAGAGGGUGGUCGGCCACACUGGAGCUGAGCCACGGACCAGACUCCUACGAGACGCAGCAGUAGGGAAUCUUACGCAGUGGUCGAAAGCAUGACAGAGCAACGGCGCGUGAGUGAUGGAGGUCUUCGGAUCGUAAAACUCUGUUAUUAGGGAAGAACAAAUGUGUAAGUAACUAUGCAGGUCUUGACGGUACCUAAUCAGAAAGCAACGGCUAACUACGUG